Molecule: ribosomal RNA, 459 nt
Filed under: uncultured bacterium
Lineage: Bacteria
Description: partial 16S ribosomal RNA
Rfam family: Bacterial small subunit ribosomal RNA
Source: RNAcentral
CCUACGAGAGGCUGCAGUGAGGAAUAUUGGUCAAUGGCCGGAAGGCUGAACCAGCCAAGCCGCGUGAAGGACGAAGGUGCCAAGCAUUGUAAACUUCUUUUGUCAAGGGACAAAAUCAGGCACGAGAGCCUGACCGAGGGUACUUGAAGAAAAAGCAUCGGCUAACUCCGUGCCAGCAGCCGCGGUAAUAGGGGGGAGGCGAAUGUUAUCCGGAUUUAUUGGGGUUAAAGGGUGCGUAGUGGGGCUGUUAAGUCAGCGGUAAAAGUCCGGGGUUAAACCCCGGCGAGCCGUUGAUACUGGCUGUCUUGAGAUGUCGUGAGGUAUGCGGAAUGCGCAGUGUAGCGGUGAAAUGCUUAGAUAUUGCGCAGAACUCCGAUUGCGAAGGCAGCAUACCGGCCGCGAUCUGACGCUGAGGCACGAAAGCGUGGGUAUCGAACAGGAUUAGAUACCCCUGUAGUC